AAAACAUGUCUUUUUGAAAAUAAUAUAAAGUCUAAUCUGCCCACUGAAUUAAUUUAAAGGGCUGCAGUAUAUUGACUGUACAAAGGUAGCAUAAUCAAUAGUCUUUUAAUUGAAGACUUGUAUGAAUGAUUUGAUGAAAUAUAAACUGUCUCUUUUUUAAAAUUAAAAUUUAAUUUUUUAGUUAAAAAGCUAAAAUAAAUAUAAAAGACGAGAAGACCCUAUAGAGUUUUAUAAUUAUUUUUAUUUAUUUUAUAUAUUAAUAUUAAAAAUUAAAUGUAAAUAAUUAUUUUGUUGGGGUGAUAGAAAAAUUUAAUUAACUUUUUUUAAAAUUUAACAUUAAUAUAUGAAUAUAUGAUCCAUAUUUUAUGAUUAAAAGAAUAAAUUACCUUAGGGAUAACAGCGUAAUUUUUUUUUUUAGUUCAUAUAAAAAAAAGAGUUUGCGACCUCGAUGUUGGAUUAAGAUAAAAUUUAAAUGCAAAAGUUUAAAAUUUUUGAUCUGUUCGAUCAUUAAAAUCUUACAUGAUCUGA
Molecule: ribosomal RNA, 528 nt
Filed under: Catopsilia pomona (lemon migrant)
Lineage: Eukaryota; Metazoa; Arthropoda; Insecta; Lepidoptera; Pieridae
Description: partial 16S ribosomal RNA
Rfam family: Archaeal large subunit ribosomal RNA (bases 393-528)
Source: RNAcentral